CAGGAAACAACGAAGGAAGGAGCAGCGAAAAAAAAGGAUCUGCCUGUGACAGCCGCCCCUAUCUGUUCCCCAGUCCACGGCGUAGAUGCGCAUCCUUCUCUGAUCGCCGGGACCGAGACGCUGGGCUGCCGUAGCGCGUAGCAGCCGCGGGAGGCGGAACGCAGUCGCUGGGCCGCUGCUGCAGGGAGAACUGGUUGCCGGGCCGCCGGCGACCAGAUCCAUGGCGCCCACGGAGGACUGACUUGGUGACUGGAAUUUGGUCUUGAUGUCUGAUGGUGGUAAAAAGGCCAUUGGAGAGCAACAUGAGUUCGAGGAAGAGCUCCACUACUGGAGAAAAUGCGCAUCACUUUUGCUCCAAGGACACUACCAAAGGGAAUGCCUAUGCUUCCGAAAAUGGAUGAACAAAAGAGGGGUUCGCAUGAUUCAAACUAUAAGUCGAGGAACAAGAAAGUUUAAGGUAGUGAAAGGAGUUGAGGCCAUGGGAUCUCUCAUGUUGGAGCUACACAAUCUAUGAUUGAAUAAUGUUCUUUAUGUACCUAGCUUAAGUAGGAAUUUCAUUUCCGUUUCUUGUUUAGACGAUGACAUGUACAAGUGCAUGUUUGGCAAUGGACGUUUUAAAUAAGUUUAAUAAGAAUGUUGGCCUCGGUGU
Molecule: long non-coding RNA, 649 nt
Organism: Triticum urartu
Lineage: Eukaryota; Viridiplantae; Streptophyta; Magnoliopsida; Poales; Poaceae
Source: RefSeq, a predicted model, not a curated record